GGGGGGGGUGGGUAUCGAACUCUGGCUGCAUGGUAUAUCCUGUAAAGUAGGAAUGUCUUGAUGGGGAUGCAGGAACAAUCAGCAAUGGAAAAGAUCCAGUGUCCAGCUGUAGGGGGUGGCAGGGGAUGUCCCUGACCACUACCCCACCACCAGAUGUUUUUGGGAUUAAUGGGGUGAAACGUCUGUAAUCGGUGGCUCCUGGAUGAUGACCCCGUAAGGUGGACGACUGAAGGCACUGGGGAAGGUGUGGCAGGAAUGAUUGGCACGUCUACAGACACACCCGGCAGUCUCUAAGGGAUGAGACACUGCAAGCUGCAGCCCGCAAGUGCUUUUUUUCCCAAGUGUGUGUGUGUAAAGAUGGAGAGAUUUGGCCAGUAAAUCAACUCCACAGAGAAACAGUCUAUUAAGCGGUCUAGAGUCCAUCAUUAAAAUUCCCUGAGUCGUUUUGGAGCAGUUCUUCUUCCACAUUGACCAUGAGUGGUACCACUUUCUUCAGCUGUGACGUCAAGGGAAGUGGACCCGAGGAAUUGUGGGUAAAGGGUGAGGUGCCUGAACCACUGUGUUGGAUUUACCUUAACAUGUUUUCCUGUGCUCCAGUCAUUUAUCUCUUACAGUACCCUCUGCAUUUGGUCAUCUUUGCCUUCACCAUCCCAGGACCAACUAGGUAGAGAGAGUGAGGAUAACGAAAGUUAUACGGGAACAAAGAGAAGGUGACUAAAUGAAGACAGAAUAACACAUUUUGAUGGAAGAAUCUUCAUGCAUACAAAUGCAGUGACUUCCACUGUGUGUAGUUUUGCCCCACAUGGAAGAAGAAUCCUUCUCCUUUUUUCACUGAGUGACUGGCGAUGAAUUGUUGAAAAGCCUCUGAGGGAAGGGUUUGUCAGUUUGCCGAAUAUGAAACAUUUGAAGUAUCCGACCGAGACCCUUGGACCGCCUCUGGUCUGGAUUAAAGGAAUCACCGGUUGGCUCAGGACUGUCUGGGUCUAAUGACUCGCAGAUGGGCCCUAGCAAACCCCAUUGGGCCACUCAAACUGGGUCACCCAUAAACAAAUUAGACUCUUGAUCUCACUGUGUAAUUGACUCACAGGAAAAUACUGUGGUGAACAAAGACUAUUGUUCCCCCCAUCAGUUUAAAGGGAUAGUUCACCCAAAAAUGACAAUUCUGUCAUCAUUUACUCACACCCAUGUUGUUCCAAAGUCGUAUGACAACAUGAGGGCCUGUAAGCCAGCGUAGUUCUAGCGGGAAGACUAGCAGCUGUACAUCAUUACACCAUUAGCUAGGUAACCCCUAGACAAUCACAUGUAAGCCAUUGCUUUACAAGUCUGCUCACAAUCCAUCACAUUGCUGUUUCAGUGCGUUAACACGGCAACCUCCACCACCCAACCAUCACCAGUUGAGUCCCGUCCAGUACGGAGGUAGGCUCCUCGCCCCUGCCUCCUAUCUCCGGCAGGAUAUGACGGUUCCGAGUACUACAACUUCGGACCACCAGACGGGGCUCACGCCAAAGAGACAUUACAUUUCUGUUUUAUAUUCAUCAAAUAAAUGUCAUCUUAAUUUCACUCAGUCUGUGGGUCUUCCUGAUAGAAAAUAAAUUCAAGAUUUGCAUUUUUGGGUGAACCAUCCCAUUAAUACAGAAUCCAAGGUACCGUAGAAGCUACAGAACUUUGUUUUGAAUGGAUGUCUUCUCCAGCAGACUCAGGUUUUUUCAGUAUGGUAUACUAGCAUAAUGCACACUACACAAUGUGCAUUGUAUAGCCUUCUGUCUACUUUUCUUUACAAAAAAAAAAUAGUAUGGGAAAACUUUAAACUUUUCAAACAGUAGCAAGCUACAAACAAGGUCCACCUGGAGAGAGCUAUAUGUUAGCAUUGCCAUUCACCUAAAUGCUAGCUGGUCAGUUGGCGCAUUUUGUGAGGACUACACAGCUAAAGUUAAAUGGCUGUCAAUAUGCUUUUUGUCCUCAGAUUGGAGUAGUUACAACAUCUACCAGUCGGCGCCAACUGUUCAUGCAGACCAGAAGUGUCUAUUAGGAAAGAUGGCAUACACUAGACGAACAAUUGCCUUUGAGAUGAAUGGGAAAGAUGGAUAGCUCUCUCCAACUUUUAUAAACAUUGUAAUGUCCUGAAUCUCUAUAAACUACCAUAGUUAGGCUAAAUGCUAUGCUAACCUCUACUCAAGUGAGUAUUUUUGUGUAAAAUUGCUUUAUGAUUGAUCUGUAGUAUUACGUCCAUGUCCUACCCUAAGGGGAAGGUGCUUUGUUUUGUGAUGUUUUUUUGUGGGUUAGCACUCUCAGUCAAUGCUUAAACCUCAUGCUAAUAUCAAAAUUAUCAUGGGUUAGCAAGAGUUUCCUGCAAACAAACGUGUCAGCUUCAUGCUAAUUUCAUGUUUUUGUUGAUAUCUCUACUUAAAUUUUUUUUUUGCCAUUAACUCUCGAUUUUCACAAGGAAAUUUCCCAAAACACCUCUAAAACCAUCAAACUAGACCAGUAUGAGUAUCUUAAACCAUCCUAGGUUGGUUUACUCUGUUUAUAAACAUGGAUGUGUGUAUAUUUUAAUGUGAGCACCAUGGUGACAACGUACACAAGAUUAACUGUUAAUCUUGAAUAAGUGUAAUUAAAAUUAGUCGAGGCAUUUUAAUACUAGACUAUUCCUCUUGUGUAGAGCUGUUUUGGGACAAAGUUAGACCUAGUUACUUAAAAAGAUACUGAAACGGCCAGGUUCGGCUACAACACUAUGAUUAUAAAGCAGAGUUCAUCGUCUGGUUGCUUUGAGAUAUGACAUAAUUAUUGUCAAGAGACAUAUUAGUUGUCAGAUGACUUGUUCAUGAAAUGGCAAACAUUACAUAUGAAGCAGUUUUAGCAGCAAGUAUGUUUUACUGUUUUAAAGCUUCCAUUAGCAUCAUUAAUAGAUGGACAUAAAUUUUAUGUAAUGUCAUUCUAAGCUCAAAACAAUCCCUGAAUUCACGUAAAAUAAAUUGGUGCUGCUGA
This is a long non-coding RNA of Xyrauchen texanus (razorback sucker), 2985 nucleotides long. RefSeq lists it as uncharacterized. Lineage: Eukaryota; Metazoa; Chordata; Actinopteri; Cypriniformes; Catostomidae. The transcript is spliced from 6 exons. The record is from RefSeq and is a predicted model, not a curated record.